AAUGAACGCUGGCGGCGCGCCUUAACCAUGCAAGUCGAGCGGCAGGCCGCAAUGCCGACAGCGGUGGAGUGGUGGGUAACAGGUUGAUAACGUAGCCCGUUGCCCGGGGCAGCGUGUAGAAUUAGAGGGUAAGACCGGAUAGAUCACUGGUUACGAGAGGGAGACAGCGGGAUCGGAGGUUCGGCCCCGCUACGGGGUCGGUCGGCGGCGGAUCAGCUGGACGGCGGGGUAAAGGCCCGCCGGGGCGAGGACGCGUAUCCGGUCUGAGAGGGAGAACGGACACACUGGAACUGAGAUACGGUCCAGACUCCUACGGGAGGCAGCAGUUGAGAAUAUUCCGCAAUGGGGGGAAGCCUGACGGAGCGACGCCGCGUGAGUGAAGAAGGCCGUAGGGUUGUAAAGUUCUUUUAUGUGGGAGGAAUAAGUUUCGGAGGAAAUGUCGCGGUUGUGACGGUACGGAAGGAAUAAGCACCGGCUAACUACGUG
Molecule: ribosomal RNA, 486 nt
Filed under: uncultured bacterium
Lineage: Bacteria
Description: partial 16S ribosomal RNA
Rfam family: Bacterial small subunit ribosomal RNA
Source: RNAcentral